RNAcentral lists this ribosomal RNA (938 nucleotides) under Lactiplantibacillus pentosus. RNAcentral describes it as "bacterial SSU rRNA". It matches the Rfam family "Bacterial small subunit ribosomal RNA", at positions 48 to 956 of the family's 1533-position model. Lineage: Bacteria; Bacillati; Bacillota; Bacilli; Lactobacillales; Lactobacillaceae. The record is from RNAcentral.
GCUAUACAUGCAGUCGACGAACUCUGGUAUUGAUUGGGUGCUUGCAUCAUGAUUUACAUUUGAGUGAGUGGCGAACUGGUGAGUAACACGUGGGAAACCUGCCCAGAAGCGGGGGAUAACACCUGGAAACAGAUGCUAAUACCGCAUAACAACUUGGACCGCAUGGUCCGAGUUUGAAAGAUGGCUUCGGCUAUCACUUUUGGAUGGUCCCGCGGCGUAUUAGCUAGAUGGUGGGGUAACGGCUCACCAUGGCAAUGAUACGUAGCCGACCUGAGAGGGUAAUCGGCCACAUUGGGACUGAGACACGGCCCAAACUCCUACGGGAGGCAGCAGUAGGGAAUCUUCCACAAUGGACGAAAGUCUGAUGGAGCAACGCCGCGUGAGUGAAGAAGGGUUUCGGCUCGUAAAACUCUGUUGUUAAAGAAGAACAUAUCUGAGAGUAACUGUUCAGGUAUUGACGGUAUUUAACCAGAAAGCCACGGCUAACUACGUGCCAGCAGCCGCGGUAAUACGUAGGUGGCAAGCGUUGUCCGGAUUUAUUGGGCGUAAAGCGAGCGCAGGCGGUUUUUUAAGUCUGAUGUGAAAGCCUUCGGCUCAACCGAAGAAGUGCAUCGGAAACUGGGAAACUUGAGUGCAGAAGAGGACAGUGGAACUCCAUGUGUAGCGGUGAAAUGCGUAGAUAUAUGGAAGAACACCAGUGGCGAAGGCGGCUGUCUGGUCUGUAACUGACGCUGAGGCUCGAAAGUAUGGGUAGCAAACAGGAUUAGAUACCCUGGUAGUCCAUACCGUAAACGAUGAAUGCUAAGUGUUGGAGGGUUUCCGCCCUUCAGUGCUGCAGCUAACGCAUUAAGCAUUCCGCCUGGGAGUACGCCGCAAGGCUGAAACUCAAAGGAAUUGACGGGGGCCCGCACAGCGGUGAGCAUGUGGUUUAUUCGAAG